This 253-nucleotide ribosomal RNA is filed under the name uncultured bacterium. RNAcentral describes it as "partial 16S ribosomal RNA". It matches the Rfam family "Bacterial small subunit ribosomal RNA", at positions 524 to 776 of the family's 1533-position model. The record is from RNAcentral.
UACGGAGGGCGCGAGCGUUAAUCGGAAUUACUGGGCGUAAAGCGCGCGUAGGCUGUUGUGUAAGUUGGGGGUGAAAUCCCACGGCUCAACCGCGGAACAGCCCUUGAUACUGCGCGACUUGAAUCCGGGAGAGGGUGGCGGAAUUCCAGGUGUAGGAGUGAAAUCCGUAGAUAUCUGGAGGAACAUCAGUGGCGAAGGCGGCCACCUGGACCGGUAUUGACGCUGAGGCGCGAAAGCGUGGGGAGCAAACAGG